RNAcentral lists this ribosomal RNA (252 nucleotides) under uncultured bacterium. RNAcentral's name for it is "partial 16S ribosomal RNA". It matches the Rfam family "Bacterial small subunit ribosomal RNA", at positions 524 to 776 of the family's 1533-position model. The record is from RNAcentral.
UACGUAGGUGCAAGCGUUAUCCGGAUUUACUGGGUGUAAAGGGAGCGUAGGCGGCGCGUUAAGUCUGAUGUGAAAACCCGAGGCUCAACCACGGGAGUGCAUUGGAAACUGGCGGGCUGGAGUGCCGGAGAGGUAAGCGGAAUUCCUAGUGUAGCGGUGAAAUGCGUAGAUAUUAGGAGGAACACCAGUGGCGAAGGCGGCUUACUGGACGGCAACUGACGCUGAGGCUCGAAAGCGUGGGGAGCAAACAGG